GAUGAACGCUAGCUACAGGCUUAACACAUGCAAGUCGAGGGGAAACGGCAUUGAGUGCUUGCACUCUUUGGACGUCGACCGGCGCACGGGUGAGUAACGCGUAUCCAACCUUCCCAUUACUGUGGAAUAACCUGCCGAAAGGCAGACUAAUACCGCAUAGUCUUCGAUGACGGCAUCAGAUUUGAAGUAAAGAUUUAUCGGUAAUGGAUGGGGAUGCGUCUGAUUAGCUUGUUGGCGGGGUAACGGCCCACCAAGGCGACGAUCAGUAGGGGUUCUGAGAGGAAGGUCCCCCACAUUGGAACUGAGACACGGUCCAAACUCCUACGGGAGGCAGCAGUGAGGAAUAUUGGUCAAUGGACGGAAGUCUGAACCAGCCAAGUAGCGUGCAGGAUGACGGCCCUAUGGGUUGUAAACUGCUUUUGUAUGGGGAUAAAGUUAGGGACGUGUCCCUAUUUGCAGGUACCAUACGAAUAAGGACCGGCUAAUUCCGUGCCAGCAGCCGCGGUAAUACGGAAGGUCCAGGCGUUAUCCGGAUUUAUUGGGUUUAAAGGGAGCGUAGGCUGGAUAUUAAGUGUGUUGUGAAAUGUAGACGCUCAACGCCUGACUUGCAGCGCAUACUGGUUUCCUUGAGUACGCACAACGUUGGCGGAAUUCGUCGUGUAGCGGUGAAAUGCUUAGAUAUGACGAAGAACUCCGAUUGCGAAGGCAGCUGACGGGAGCGCAACUGACGCUUAAGCUCGAAGGUGCGGGUAUCAAACAGG
This 761-nucleotide ribosomal RNA is filed under the name Prevotella melaninogenica. Its description in RNAcentral is "bacterial SSU rRNA". It matches the Rfam family "Bacterial small subunit ribosomal RNA", at positions 28 to 776 of the family's 1533-position model. Lineage: Bacteria; Pseudomonadati; Bacteroidota; Bacteroidia; Bacteroidales; Prevotellaceae. The record is from RNAcentral.